GGGUGGUAAUGCCGGAUGCUCCAGUUGAUCGCAUGGUCUUCUGGGAAAGCUUUCGCGGUAUGGGAUGGGGUCGCGUCCUAUCAGCUUGACGGCGGGGUAACGGCCCACCGUGGCUUCGACGGGUAGCCGGCCUGAGAGGGCGACCGGCCACAUUGGGACUGAGAUACGGCCCAGACUCCUACGGGAGGCAGCAGUGGGGAAUAUUGCACAAUGGGCGCAAGCCUGAUGCAGCGACGCCGCGUGAGGGAUGGAGGCCUUCGGGUUGUAAACCUCUUUUAUCGGGGAGCAAGCGAGAGUGAGUUUACCCGUUGAAUAAGCACCGGCUAACUACGUGCCAGCAGCCGCGGUAAUACGUAGGGUGCAAGCGUUAUCCGGAAUUAUUGGGCGUAAAGGGCUCGUAGGCGGUUCGUCGCGUCCGGUGUGAAAGUCCAUCGCUUAACGGUGGAUCCGCGCCGGGUACGGGCGGGCUUGAGUGCGGUAGGGGAGACUGGAAUUCCCGGUGUAACGGUGGAAUGUGUAGAUAUCGAAAAAAAAACACC
This 539-nucleotide ribosomal RNA is filed under the name Bifidobacterium longum subsp. infantis. Its description in RNAcentral is "bacterial SSU rRNA". It matches the Rfam family "Bacterial small subunit ribosomal RNA", at positions 158 to 710 of the family's 1533-position model. Lineage: Bacteria; Bacillati; Actinomycetota; Actinomycetes; Bifidobacteriales; Bifidobacteriaceae. The record is from RNAcentral.